AUGGUUCUAAACUGUUUCCAUGAUGGCUCCAAAUCCUACAAAUUAUCCUUGUUUCACAAGUAAUUAACACCUAUUAAUUCUAUUCUGAAUACUAAUUGACUGACUGGCUAUUUUUUUUUGUUCAGACUUUCUGUUAAUAAAUACCAUUAAAAAUAGGAAGUAGUAAACAUUAUUUUAGUAUUCAGUAAUGGAAUGUACUGCUAACAAGGGCCGUAACUAAGCCAAAAGCACAUCAAAUAAACUGAAUAAACAUUGUUUGCUGUAUAAUUUUGGCAUAAUUUAUAUACAUAUAUUAUUAUUUCUGCUUUGAAUGCUGUAAUGAUUUUGAAUUGUGAAGGUCAGGAAUGCGGUUUGAUGGUGACACGUGAUAACAUCUUGUGUAGCCCAGCCCGUGGACUCUUGUCCCCAAUACAAUCAAAUCACAAGUAAUAUAAACACAAGUGUCGGAUGAUAUUAAUGUAUAGCAUAACAUCAUAGUGCCAUCCAACUCGAAGAUGAAAGGUCAAAUUGUCAGAGACAGUAUUUAAGCUAGCAUAGGCCUGUCGGGGUCAGAUAGAAAUUGUCGUCGAUAAAGGAACAAUUGCCAUAAAAAUAAAUUGUCGCUGGAAAUAAAAAUUGUCAUCAAAAGUAGAAUUUUGGGGUUGUGAAGGCAUUAGCAUCCAAAAGAGAAGAACCAGCAGCAAGAUAAUAAAGUGAUCAGGAGAUCCAUUGCUUAUCCUGAUGAAAAUCUCCAGGAAGAUUACAGAUAUACCUCACUUGUUCUGGAGAAAACAUUCAUUGUCCGCUAUAAACAAGGGCCUUCUAAUAGUCGUCAGUUAUCUGACCAUCUCUCUGUUUCUACCGCUGUCAUCAUCUUUUGAUCAGCAAGACAUCAAAAUCAUUCUCUCUUCUGUUAUUCCUCUACCAGUGAGCUGGGAUUUUAUUAUUUACCUUAUAUUUUUCCUCUGAAAUAUAUUGUCAGUUGAGUUUGUGUAAAGAACUCUUUUGUUAACUCUUAUGUGGUAAUAAAUGAAAGCUUAGUGUUACUACCUGUAGUCUCUGAGUC
RNAcentral lists this long non-coding RNA (1045 nucleotides) under Androctonus crassicauda. Lineage: Eukaryota; Metazoa; Arthropoda; Arachnida; Scorpiones; Buthidae. The record is from RNAcentral.